UGCAUCCCGGCCGGGCCGAACAAUCGGCACCUCUACAUUCGCGCUCGCCAGCGAGGUGGGCGUGUCCCGUGGAGGUUCCGACUCCGCUAUUGGACGAACGCUGAUUCCUUUCCUCCUCGACUUCCGCUCUCUGCACGCCCAACCAACCACGGAAUAAUGAUAAUAAUGAUCAAGAUGGCUACUACAGAAGUCUCUUUCUGUAGCUAAGCACCCAUUCCAUGGGAUCACUUAAAACUGCAAUUUAUGGUUCUUAAAGUCCCUCGGAGGCGACGGGGCUACGCCAAGGGUAAUACUAUAUGGAUUCAUUAAAGACUGAGAGGAAAUACUCGUAAUUGUAUCGCCUGUAGCGGUUAGUCAACGGAAGCUAGCUAGCAUAGUAACUAGCCAGCGGUUUCGCUGGCGACCAUCUCCGGCGUUCGUUGACCACCCGCGGGGGAGCGUGGCCCUGUUCCGUGUGUCAAAUGGCAGAACCGAGGAAAGUUGCUUUCGUCACCCUCUCGUCGUUCAGCACUUCCACUCCGGCGACCUCGGAGUUGGGCAAGAAACGCCGCCGCGAAGAUGAGGCCAUGACUUUAGGCAGAGACGGUGAAAUAAGUGCGGUCGGGUCAGACGGUGCUGGGGGUCUGUUUGGGACCGCGCCAGGGGAUGUCGCCGAGCCCGAGGAGGCGAGACCCACCGUUCGUCUCAACCUCUCGCUUUCCGAGCCAAGUGAACGUGGUUCUGCCGAGUUCAACUACAGCGAGAUGGUGGUCCCGACGACUCAACGUCAUUCUCAGGUACAACUAGCAGCACCUUCAACUGUCCCAAAAGGACUCGCACCCUCCCUGGACCCGAACGACCCACUUGCUGAUGAUGAGAGGGAGAGACGCGAGGUUGAAGAGUUGGCGAAGAAGUUUGAAAGUAAAUAUGGUGGCGCCUCCAAGAAGAAGAAAAAAGACAGGAUGCAGGAUCUCAUUGAUAUUGGUUAUGGGUAUGACGAGACCGACCCCUUUAUUGACAAUUCUGAAGCCUAUGAUGAGCUGGUUCCGGCUUCUCUGACAACCAAACACGGAGGCUUUUACAUUAACACAGGCACGCUCCAGUUUCGUGCCGCUUCUGACUCAGAAGGAGACGACAUGGAGAAUAAUCACAUAAAGAUAAAAGAUGGAGAAGAGCGAGUGAUUAAAAAGCGGAGGAAGAAGCAAGAUGGUCCAGUUUUGGAAGAGAAGAAACCCAGGAAAAAUAAAGUACCAAAGUCCGGAGUGUCGUCCUUGAAUCGACCAGAAAAGAAGAAGAGGAAAAAGCUCAUGAAAGAUUCCCUCCACCUGGCUAACAUGUUGCGACGCUUCACCAGGGAGAAGGAAGAGAUGCGAAAGAGGAACAUGGCUGGCGGUGGUUUGCCACGACCUCAAGCCAAAGUGCCCGGUCCUAACAGCACAGUCGUCAACAGCCAGCUCAAGGCUCCUGGUGGAAAUGACUGCAACAUGGCAGACUUGACGUCCGACCCAGCCGUGAUGUCACUACUCGGGUCAGCCAACAAUGACGUGUUGCAGGACAUGAUGGGCGAUUUGGACUUUGGGAUGCUGGACUCUUCGCAGCCCUCCAGUCCUACUCAGGGAGAGAAUGGCUCGUUUGGCACAGGCCAUAAGGCAGGCAUAGGCCGUAUGUCGCAGGGUAAUGUGAUGAGCCCUCCAUCGUUGCCCACUGGUCUCCCGGGCCCUCUCAUAAAGCGCAUUGAAGACCUCAGAGCGGCAUCCCGACAGUUCGAUGAAGAGGGCCGCAAGAAAUUUUUCACAAUGGACAUGAAUAACAUCCUACUUGAUAUUGAUUUGCAGGUUCAGGAGCAGUCUGCCGACGUUCGUUCAGCCGUGUACUCCCACUUGGAGGCCUUUGUUCCCUGUAAUAAAGAAGGUCUGCUCAAGCGCCUUAAGAAGCUGAGCCUCAACAUCCAGGACAACCGUCUCAGAACACCACUGCUCAAGCUGAAGCUGGCUGUGUGCAGUGUGAUGCCAGAGCAAAUUGCUCGGUACAACAUGGACUGCAUCGCUAAGGUGGCAAAACACCAGUCCGAGGAAGGAGAGAAAAAUGGUUCCGAGGAUGAUGACGAGGAGAAGCCAGGCAAGAGGGUAGUAGGGCCUCGAAAGAAGUUUGUCUGGGAUGACAAACUCAGGUCAUUGCUAUGCAACUUGGUGCGGGUGAAGCUGAGCUGUUAUGAGCUGGAGGGUAAGAACACGUCUCCCGAAGACUACCUCAAAGCCUUCAUGGAGACAGAAGUUAAACCUCUCUGGCCAAAAGGUUGGAUGCAGGCCAGAAUACUGUUUAAAGAGAGCAUCAUGGCUCACGGUCACCUCACUGGUUACAUAGCAAAGAAAAAGAUUAUCACCACACCGAAAGUCAAGCCAAAGGAGGCAGCGUGGGUUCAGCGGACCACACCCUCAGCAGGUGUCACUCCGUCCCCCGUUGGCCAGGUUGCUAAGCGACCAUCUCAGCCGCCGUCUGAGCCCAUAUGCCUCGAUUCCCUCGACGACGAUCUGGCAGUUCCCUCGCUGGACUCCAUCUCCCAGGCGCUUAUGAUCCUUGGCAAUGCCGCCAAGGGCCUAGCACAAGACGACAGCCCUCCCUCUCCAGAUAUCCCCAAGAGCGUUGCCAACCCCCCCUCGUCCCCUCAUGUCUCUGCGCUCGUCCAGCAGCAGCAGAAAAACAACUCCGUCAGCACGUCCAGUUCCAGCAACACUCGCUACACGUUUACCUCUUCGUCUCCCUCCACCCCUCUGUCUCGACCGUCCUCGCGCCCUUUCUCGCCUGUGUCUUCUGUUAGAGUGGAUGCGAUGGGGGUUGUGAAGGGACCGGGACAGAUACACAGACACUCCGUGCUGAACACUCAGAGACCCGUGGGGGUUGCUGUGCCUAAAGUCAAUUCUCCUGCAUCUGUUUCACCCCCUAAACCCCGCCCUCCACCUACUGCCUCACCCCUUGCACCUCCAGGAUCAAAAGUAGGGGUCUCCACUCCCCCUUCAAGCCUCAUUAAAUGCAACAUUAAUAAAGGAAUCAACAGUAAUGACCCCGUCAUCAUUACAUCGCCAUCUCGACCAACAGCCCAUCCGUCACCCGCACACAUGAGCCCCAAAACCUUCCUGGCGACACGCAUGCCGCUCACCCCACAGAGCAAAGCCUCUUCCGUGCCCCCGUCCCACCCGGGAGUUAAAACUACGCAACAGUCUGGUUUCAUCACCCCGAUGCACGCUACUCUCACUCAAUCGAGUCACUGCGGCAUCACCCCGAUUGUCAAACUCACACCUCGCACCCCCAACUCCGUCGUCACCACGUCUCCUCGCACCCUCAGCUCGACCGCCACUGCGUCUCCUCGGACCCCCAGCUCGACCGCCACCGCGUCUCCUCGGACCCUCAGCUCGACCGCCACCACCUCAUCUCGAAUCCUCAACUCGGCCGCCACGUCUCGACCCCUCAACUCAGCCGUCACCACCCCAUCUCGCACCCUCAACUCGGCCGCCUCGUCUCGCACCCUCAACUCGGCCGUCACGACCCCAUCUCGCAGCCUCAACUCAGUCAUCCCGACCCCGUCUCGUACUGUCAACUCAGUCGUCACCACCUCGAGUUCGCCCACCCCCUCCCAAAUCCCUCGGUCUCAGGUGACACCCCCAAUGCAGCAAUUCUCUUCCAAAAGCCCCGCAGGCUUUCGCCCGCCAUUCUCAGGUGCCUCAGCGGGAUCGGGCAAGGUGGGUCCAAGUGGUUACGCUCCUCCAGGCAACCAGAAGAGUUCAGUCGUCAUUAACAGCAGCACAACCAACAGUAGCCUUAACACUUCAUCCAUAACCAAGCAUUCAGGAACUGGCACCCCCCCAACGGUGCCCUCUGCCAACCAGAGCCAGCGGCAGAGGCCAGGGGGGGUGACGUCUCAGGGUAGCAAACCGGUGACGUCGGUCCCGUUGUCAUCAGCUUCUUCUCAGUUGCCACAGGUUGGCAUCGCCAGCAGGGGGCAGCGGUUUGCUGGGCUCCACCUCUUCUCUUCCUCUGGGCUUUGGGAUGUUGGGCGGUCUGGUUCCCGUGUCAUUUCCCUUACAGUUCCCGCCGCCGCUGCUCAACUUACCCCCGCUGGGCACCGCCGGCUCCAACACGCCGCCCAGUAGCUCCGCCCCCAGUAGUAAUGCGUCCUUCUCUACGUUGACACAGAAUCUGUAUAAGAGUCUCCAGUCAGGUUCUCAGGUUGCUCUGCCUCCUCACUUGCAGCUUGCUUUCUCAGAUGUUGCCCAAAGCCAGGGGGGAGAUGGCAAGAGGAAGACGCUAUGAUAGCAGCUGGACUUGCUUUUGGUGCCAGAUUGAGCAGACCACUUUUAAAAACAUUCAAGAUUUCAGGAUUUCUAAAAGGAAAAAAAAGUCAACAUUUUGAUAACUUUUCCACUCAACACAGCUAAAGAAAAUGAUAAAUACAACUUGUUUACAAGACAGACCUAUAUCACUGUGGAUGGAGAAGAAAUUUGUACGUUGAUAUAGGAUUGACGGUGUGCCUUCUGUACGUUUCCCUCUCAGAUGCAUGGUCAGUGUCUACAUGGUGCUCUUUUUAAAACGAUAAAUUAUCGCUGACAUUUGUAAGAAAUGUAAAAUGCGCAUGGCUGAAUUGGAGCCCCCCCCCAAACCCCAAGCUGAACACUUUUUUUUCUUUUACUUGAAUUCUUCAGUGAGUUCCAUUCUGUACAGUACUUCAACCUUUUAAUUAAAAUUUGUUCCCUUCA
Syngnathoides biaculeatus (alligator pipefish) is the source of this 4730-nucleotide RNA transcript. It is a transcript of the gene named ubinuclein-2-like, with no coding region annotated. The transcript is spliced from 17 exons. The record is from RefSeq and is a predicted model, not a curated record. Lineage: Eukaryota; Metazoa; Chordata; Actinopteri; Syngnathiformes; Syngnathidae.